UAAGUAGGGCGUGAAAGCGUGUGGCUCAACCAUAUACACAUGUCCUAAACUACUAAGCUAGAAUAUAGAAGAGGUCGCUGGAAUUCCUUGUGUAGGAGUGAAAUCCGUAGAUAUAAGGAGGAACACCGAUGGCGUAGGCAGGCGACUGGUCUAUUAUUGACACUAAGGCACGAAAGCGUGGGUAGCAAACGGGAUUAGAUACCCCGGUAGUCCACGCCGUAAACUAUGGAUGCUA
Molecule: ribosomal RNA, 235 nt
Filed under: uncultured Candidatus Saccharibacteria bacterium
Lineage: Bacteria; Candidatus Saccharimonadota
Description: partial 16S ribosomal RNA
Rfam family: Bacterial small subunit ribosomal RNA
Source: RNAcentral